This is a long non-coding RNA of Megalobrama amblycephala (Wuchang bream), 562 nucleotides long. RefSeq lists it as uncharacterized. The record is from RefSeq and is a predicted model, not a curated record. Lineage: Eukaryota; Metazoa; Chordata; Actinopteri; Cypriniformes; Xenocyprididae. The transcript is spliced from 2 exons.
UAUUUGGAUGUGUGUCUGUUUGCUCCAUCAACGCCCAUUUUCACGUGCCUGCCGAGGGAAAAUCACCGUGUAAAACAUGUUCAAGCAUUAUUUCUCUGAGCAUGUGUGUGAGGAAAUUUGUAUUUUUGCUUCAGGAACGGACGACAGACAGACAGGUGAUGGCUCUGCUCUCUGGCUGCGCACCAGGUAAUGUGAGCAAUCAGAGGUACUUCAGAAAGCCGGCGGUCGCAGGUGUCACUCCGAAUCCAGCUCCUCAUAAACAAACAUGCUGCCACGGCUCGAGUUCACCGAGGGCGUCUGUCCCGCCGCGAACUCUCGCGUGCCCCUGAGAGCUUCUACCUGCUCAUGUCUCGCGUGGCUCUUGUGUUCGGAGACAAAGAGGGAGGAUCAGCCCUGAUGACCCAGAAAGACGCUCACGGAUGGGCCUAAUUAGAUUAGCCCAGUGUGACGAACAGGAGAUGACGUCAUCGUCAUGUGACCGGAUCAGACUGUCAGAGGUUAAUGCUCUGAUCUGGGAUCAGAUGGCAUCUUGAAAUGUUACUUCAUUAAAGAACAAAUGUGC